RNAcentral lists this small RNA (1198 nucleotides) under Pongo abelii (Sumatran orangutan). RNAcentral's name for it is "unitary pseudogene". The record is from RNAcentral. Lineage: Eukaryota; Metazoa; Chordata; Mammalia; Primates; Hominidae.
AUGUUCCAGCUGUCAGCCACCCCAGCAAGUGCCCUUGCAGAUGAUCCAGUGCACAUCCAAGUGACAGGCCUGCCCCCAUCCCAGGUGGUAACUCUGAAGGCCCCGCUGAAGGAUGAGAAGAAGAAUCUGUUCCAAUCCAUGGCCUUCUACAGGGCUAAUGAGGCUGGUGAGGUGGACUUGGAGCAGGCUCCCGCAUUUGGAGGUGACUACAUGGGAGUAUAUCCAAUGGGCCUCUUUUGGUCUCUGAAGCCUGAGAGGCCUUUCCAGAGGCUGCUCAAGCAGGAUGUGAUGAACAGCCCCUUUUGGGUCAGUCUGGACCUAUAUGACUCCAUUUGUUUUCAAGAUUCAGCCACUGUUUAGCCCAAGGCCAGCCAGACCAUGCAGCGCUGGUUCUCAGGCCCUGGGGUGCAGAGGAAGCAGAUCCAAGAAGGUCGAGUGCGAGGAGCCCUUUUUCUUCCUCCAGUAGAAUUUCGGGCCAGUCUUUUGGCUUCCCAUGGUUUUGCACUGCUGAUAUUAGCAUAUUUUGCCUACGAGGACUUGCCUGACAAACUGCAGGAGGUGGACUUGGAAUAUUUUGAGGAAGCUGCCAACUUGCUACUAGCUCAUCCCAAGAUCCAAAGGCCAGGAAUUGGAGUGAUCUCCGUGUACAAAGGUGCCGAGAUUGGCUUGGCUAUGGCCUACUACAUGAAGCAGGUGGUGGCCACCGUCUGCAUUAAUGGGCCCAACGCCAGCUUUGAAGUUCCAGUCAGAUACGGGGAUCUGAUUGUGACACCCAUCAGCUCAGCCCCGCAGCGCCUGCAGGUCCACGUCUCUGGAGCUGUGCGCCUCCGCCACCGUAAGGGAGACCCCCGAGAUGAGCUCCAUCAGCAGAGUGUGCUUCCUGUUGAAAAGGCUAGGGGUUGGAUUCUUUUCAUCGUUGGGGAGAGUGACGAAUGCCUGGAUAGUAAAGCGUACGCUGAGCAGGCCGUGGAGGCAGAAGCAGCAGGAGGAUGCCGGUGUACCCCGGGGCAGGCCAUGUCCUAGAACCGCCCUAUGCUCCCUUGUGCUUCGCGUCCUGGGACCCGGGCAUUUCCGGGCCCUUGCUCUGGGGAGGAGAUGCUGCUGCUCAUGCGGCAGCCCAGGAGCACGCCUGGGGGCAGAUCCAGAAAUUCUUCAGGCAACACCUCAUUAAGACCAGAAGCAAACUCUGAGCAAAGGC